Molecule: ribosomal RNA, 173 nt
Filed under: uncultured Synechococcus sp.
Lineage: Bacteria; Bacillati; Cyanobacteriota; Cyanophyceae; Synechococcales; Synechococcaceae
Description: partial 16S ribosomal RNA
Rfam family: Bacterial small subunit ribosomal RNA
Source: RNAcentral
CUCCUACGGGAGGCAGCAGUGGUGAAUUUUCCGCAAUGGGCGAAAGCCUGACGGAGCAACGCCGCGUGAGGGACGAAGGCCUCUGGGCUGUAAACCUCUUUUAUCAAGGAAGAAGAUCUGACGGUACUUGAUGAAUAAGCCACGGCUAAUUCCGUGCCAGCAGCCGCGGUAAU